RNAcentral lists this long non-coding RNA (2608 nucleotides) under Sus scrofa (pig). RNAcentral's name for it is "lncRNA (ENSSSCG00055023442.1)". The record is from RNAcentral. Lineage: Eukaryota; Metazoa; Chordata; Mammalia; Artiodactyla; Suidae.
GUGCUCAGAGCCAAGGGGGUGUUUUCCGUGUGGUUUUAGCACAUUGUAGCUUCGUAUUUUGGCCGUGUGGGCGCCUGCCUGAUCCUGCCGGCCUUGGCCUGGGGGAGGCAGAGGAUGGCUUCCUGCCCUUUGUUUUCCUAAAGUGUACAGGUGGAUGCUUUGUUUAAAAACCAGAACACACCAAAAAAAUCCAAACAAACAAACAAACAAAACCAAUAAAAUCAAAGCCCUGUGGUGUUUGUGAAUGGCCCUUGUGUUUUUUAGUUUUAUCCGGCUUCCUUUUAUCACUGGGAAAAAUACAAAACAUAGAAUUUAUGUUAAACUCUCGUAAGUCAAUAGUUUUCAGCGGAGGAGUUCCUCUUGUGGCUCAGCGGGUUAAGAACCCAACUAGGAUCCACUGGGAUGUGGGUUCAAUCCCUGGCCUCGCUCAGUGGGUUAAGGAUACAGCAUUGCCGUGAGCUGUGGUGCAGGUCACAGAUGCAGCUCAGAUCCUGCGUUGCUGUGGCUGUGGUGCAGGCCGGUAGCUGCAGCUGGCUCAACCCCUAGCCUGAGAACAUCCAUAUGCUGCAGGGGCGGCCCUAAAAAGCCAAAAAAAAAAAAAAAAAAGCUGCAGGUCUUUGUCCUAGGCUCCCAUGAAACUGACAGUCUGUGGCUUCCUCAGUCAAUAGGCUGGAGCAGCACCCAGACGUGUCCUCUCAAGAUCCAGACACGCCAAGCCCGUGCCUUUCUUGGUUGUGGGCAGUGCAAGGCGCAGCCGGGAGACCGUGACGGUCCAGAGGCCACUGGUUCGUCCUGGAAUUGAGCCGUCGCCGUCCAGGGCACGGCUUCCUGCUCACCAGGGCCACUGCUGUGAUGUCCCCAGUGCACCCAAAUGAAAUCACGUCUCACCGUUGUGGAGGCUGCAAGUCCAGGAUCGGGGUGCUGCAGGGGGUUCAGCCGAGGGCCUCUGCUGGGUGUGGACGGCUGGCUCCUCCUUGUGUCUUCAGAGGUGCACUCUCAGGGCUCAUGGGAUCAUGCGUCUGUCUGUGAGGGCUCCACCUCGCAGCCUCAUCGGAGCCCAGGCCGUGUCUUGUCACAUGGAUCGUCCCUGUGUCCAGCUGACAGAACAGGAGAGGCCCGCCUCUGACCUGCACCUGGAUCCGCACGGUGUGCUGGCAUCCGCUGCACCCCACACAGGCUCAGGGCCUUGGAAGAUUGCAGGUGGCAAACCAGGCGGUACCUCUGGCGGCCCACUUCAGGUGGAGAGAGCCAGCCGAGCCCUGAUCCGUAUGCGCCCUUGUCUGUGACUGUCCAGCUGGCCCUCCACGGCAGAGAAGAGACCGCAGGGGGGUAUCCAGCAGGUCUCUCCCGUCCCGCAGGACACGCACUGGAAGCACGCUCUGGUGGGCGGGGUGACACCUGUGGAUGUCACCCAGCCUCUUAAGUGGCAGGAAAGGAGACCUGCAUUGGCUCAACACCACCCCCUCUCACAAAGGCUUCCUGGCUUCUGCAGCUCCUCAGUCCCUGCACUGCCAACCACAGACGCCAACGCGGAGCCCUUGACGAGGCAGGCAGUCCCCUCCACCACAGAGGAGGCAGUAGUUGGUCCCACCAGGAACAGACACGUUCCUGUCUGCGGGACGUCUGCCAACAGUGCGAUCUGAGGACCUGGAGAAUGUCUUACCUGCUGCCUUAGCUCUUUGUGACGGCGCCUCUUUUCAGCAGGCCCACAUUUUAUUUGUUGUACGGUCGCACCUGCUGCACAUGGAAGGUCCCACCCAGCCUAGGGAUCGAAUCCAAGCCACAGCUGCAACCUAUACCGCAGCUGGGGCAAUGCUGAAUCCUUUAACCCACUGCACCGGGCUGGGAGUCAAACCCGCACCUUCCCAGCAACCCAAGCCACUGCACUCGGAUGCUUAACCCACUGUGCCCCAGUGGGAACUCCAGCAGCAGGCAUAUUUUAAAGCAAUGAAAGUGUGCAGGAUGAGCUCACGUGGAAGCCACUGGUGUCACCACGUUGGGGGAGCUUAUUGAGGACAUGACCUGUGGAAGUUUGACCUGUGAGCCAGACCCCCAACAGAGGCCCCCACCGGCUCCCUGUCCUUGGAAGGUGCUUUCUGCCCCAAGGCUGCAGCCUCGAGACCGGCUGGAAGGUGUGCAUGACCGAUGCCAGGCAAGGCCUCUGUAUAAGCGCUUAUGAUUGUGGCAGGUCGGUGCAGAGACCUAUUGCCCCUGGCCACCCAAGACAAACCUCGUGAGCCCCAGCAGCCAGGGAGCGCCGAAGGAGAGGCUGGGCUACAAACGGUGUGGAAAGAAUUGCAGCCAACUCCUCAGCUGCAUGCUGCAGAUGACCCAAUUUAUUAAACGAAAAGCAUCAGUUUUUAUACCAUAUCACAAUCAGGUUUCGUAUAAGAUUUGACAUUAACAUUUGAUUUAAAGCCCUUUCUGUUCCCUCCACCUGAGAUACAAAAAAAGGUUAGUUAAAACAUGUUCCUUUCAACUUUAGAUUUUCCUUCAAGAUUACAAUCUUAAAGUUUCACACUGUAUUUUUCUUAAAAGGUCAACAACAGUAGUUAUUCUAUUCUAUAUUAAGAACAAAGCUUUAAUAAGCAAUAAACUAUGAUACCUA